RNAcentral lists this ribosomal RNA (456 nucleotides) under uncultured Cystobacterineae bacterium. Its description in RNAcentral is "bacterial SSU rRNA". It matches the Rfam family "Bacterial small subunit ribosomal RNA", at positions 924 to 1382 of the family's 1533-position model. Lineage: Bacteria; Pseudomonadati; Myxococcota; Myxococcia; Myxococcales. The record is from RNAcentral.
CACAAGCGGUGGAGCAUGUGGUUUAAUUCGAUGAUACGCGAGGAACCUUACCUGGGCUCAAAUGUAUGUUGACGUAUUCUGAAAGGGAUACUUCUUCGGACAAUAUACAAGGUGCUGCAUGGUUGUCGUCAGCUCGUGCCGUGAGGUGUCGGGUUAAGUCCCAUAACGAGCGCAACCCCUAUCAUUAGUUGCCAUCAGGUCAAGCUGGGGACUCUAAUGAAACUGCCUACGCAAGUAGUGAGGAAGGUGGGGAUGACGUCAAGUCCUCAUGGCCUUUAUGACCAGGGCUACACACGUACUACAAUGGCCGAUACAAAGGGCAGCGACACUGCGAGGUGAAGCCAAUCCCGUAAAAUCGGUCUCAGUCCGGAUUGGAGUCUGCAACUCGACUCCAUGAAGUUGGAAUCGCUAGUAAUCGUGGAUCAGCAUGCCACGGUGAAUACGUUCCCGGGCCUU